UUACAAAAUAGAAACUACAGCUGGAUUGUAGCAUAUCUAUCCAACAUUACAAAAUAGAAAUAAGAAGCCACAAAGUGAAACCCAAAAUUUCUCAUAGUAUCUGGAAUAUCUUUAACAGAAUAUUCCCCACUCAAAUCUCCUCUAGAUCUUCUAGAAUAUCCUCCAACUCUCCUCCCUAUGAUCCGCAUCACAAAACCUGCUUAAUUUGUUGUG
Long non-coding RNA from Telopea speciosissima, 213 nucleotides. RefSeq lists it as uncharacterized. The transcript is spliced from 3 exons. The record is from RefSeq and is a predicted model, not a curated record. Lineage: Eukaryota; Viridiplantae; Streptophyta; Magnoliopsida; Proteales; Proteaceae.